This 99-nucleotide transfer RNA is filed under the name Scytolyngbya sp. HA4215-MV1. RNAcentral describes it as "tRNA-Ile". Lineage: Bacteria; Bacillati; Cyanobacteriota; Cyanophyceae; Leptolyngbyales; Leptolyngbyaceae. RNAcentral also lists the same sequence under 1 other name. The record is from RNAcentral.
CGCGGAGAUGGAGCUAUGGUGCGCUCUGGGGUCUUAUAAGCCUUCACGUGCCGGGUACCGCUACGCGGAAGCGAGCUACAAAUCCCGGCUCCGCUACCA